GAGUUUGAUCAUGGCUCAGGAUGAACGCUAGCGACAGGCCUAACACAUGCAAGUCGAGGGGCAUCGGGGAGUGGCAACACUCCGCCGGCGACCGGCGCACGGGUGAGUAACGCGUAUGCAACCUGCCCGCACCGAGGGGGAUAACCGGGAGAAAUCCCGUCUAAUACCGCGUAACGCCUCAUGGGGGCAUCCCCAAGAGGCCAAAGGUUUUCCGGGAGCGGAUGGGCAUGCGUGACAUUAGCUAGGUUGGCGGGGUAACGGCCCACCAAGGCGACGAUGUCUAGGGGUUCUGAGAGGAA
This 299-nucleotide ribosomal RNA is filed under the name uncultured bacterium. Its description in RNAcentral is "partial 16S ribosomal RNA". It matches the Rfam family "Bacterial small subunit ribosomal RNA", at positions 9 to 301 of the family's 1533-position model. The record is from RNAcentral.